UGGCGCAUAUUGUCUGUAAACGUUAUACAACCAUUCAAAAAUUGAAUCAAACCCAGGUAAGGUGCAGGUGCAUCAGGGGAGAUCUAACCCAGGGUAGGGGGUGCAGGUGCAUCAGUGGAGUCUACCCAGGUAGGUGCAGGUGCAUCAGUGAGAUCUACCCAGGUAGGUGCAGGUGCAUCAGUGAGAUCUACCCAGGUAGGUGCAGGUGCAUCAGUGGAUCUAACCCAGGUAGGCUGCAGCGUGCAUCAGUG
Long non-coding RNA from Notothenia coriiceps (black rockcod), 251 nucleotides. RefSeq lists it as uncharacterized. Lineage: Eukaryota; Metazoa; Chordata; Actinopteri; Perciformes; Nototheniidae. The transcript is spliced from 3 exons. The record is from RefSeq and is a predicted model, not a curated record.